This 78-nucleotide transfer RNA is filed under the name Bacteroides sp. Its description in RNAcentral is "tRNA-Val". It matches the Rfam family "tRNA". From Rfam's summary of the family: Transfer RNA (tRNA) molecules are approximately 80 nucleotides in length. Their secondary structure includes four short double-helical elements and three loops (D, anti-codon, and T loops). The record is from RNAcentral. Lineage: Bacteria; Pseudomonadati; Bacteroidota; Bacteroidia; Bacteroidales; Bacteroidaceae.
GGGAGCUUAGCUCAGCUGGUUCAGAGCGCCUGCCUUACAAGCAGGAGGUCGCUGGUUCGAAUCCAGCAGUUCCCACAA